GACGAACGCUGGCGGCGUGCUUAACACAUGCAAGUCGAACGGAAAGGCCCUGCUUUUGUGGGGUGCUCGAGGGGCGAACGGGGGAGUAACACGUGAGUAACCUGCCCUUGACUUUGGGAUAACUUCAGGAAACUGGGGCUAAUACCGGAUAGGAGCUCCUGCUGCAUGGAGGGGGUUGGAAAGUUUCGGCGGGUGGGGAUGGACGCGCGGCUUAUCAGCUUGUUGGUGGGGUAGUGACUUACCAAGGCUUUGACGGGUAGCCGGCCUGAGAGGGUGACCGGCCACAUUGGUACUGCGAUACGGCCCAGACUCCUACGGGAGGCAGCAGUGGGGAAUAUUGCACAAUGGGCGGAAGCCUGAUGCAGCAACGCCGCGUGCGGGAUGCCGGCCUUCGGGUUGUAAACCGCUUUCGCCUGUGACGAAGCGUGAGUGACGGUAAUGGGUAAAGAAGCACCGGCUAACUACGUG
Molecule: ribosomal RNA, 468 nt
Filed under: uncultured bacterium
Lineage: Bacteria
Description: partial 16S ribosomal RNA
Rfam family: Bacterial small subunit ribosomal RNA
Source: RNAcentral